Brienomyrus brachyistius is the source of this 733-nucleotide long non-coding RNA. RefSeq lists it as uncharacterized. The transcript is spliced from 2 exons. Lineage: Eukaryota; Metazoa; Chordata; Actinopteri; Osteoglossiformes; Mormyridae. The record is from RefSeq and is a predicted model, not a curated record.
UUGCAAGAUAUCUGCAACUACUGAGAGUUACCGCAAACCAGAAACUAAAUAUGGCAUCUGUAUGUCCUGUUCUGUUCCUGAUCCUCGCCGUUGGAUGGGCUGCCAUGCCAGUGAUGUCUGAGAUCGACGUUCAAGCCAAUGAGUCGCGAUAUGAGAAAUUCCUCAGGCAGCAUUUCGACCCAAAUAUGGCAGAAAAAAAAUGUGACAGUGAAAUUAAAAGUAGGAAGAUCUAUGGCAAUGAGGACACUCACAGCUGUAAACCAGUUAAUACAUUCAUUGCUGCUGGCAGUAAAAACUUAAUCAAGGAUGUUUGUGAAAAGGCAGGUUCUCCAUAUCAUGGAAAUCUACGCAUAAGCAAUAACCCUUUUUUUGUGAUCACCUGCACGCUGAUGGGAGGGUCAGACCGCCCACCAUGUGAAUACAGGGGACGCGGCAGCACCAGAAAGAUUGUCAUUGGCUGUGAGAACAACCUCCCAGUGCAUUAUGACGAGGGCAUAAUCAUUCCAGCUGCCAAUAAACCAGUUUAGACCCAAAUUAAUUGGGAUUGAGAUGAGAUUAUUAGCUUGUGCAUUUUCUGUGAGCUGACCUGCAUGUAUAAUCAUGUUCCUCCAAUAUCCCAUUUAUAUGCAACUUCUCUAAGGCUUCUGUAAAAUCUGUUGCUGAGUUAAAGAUUCUGUAUUAGCAGCUUUGCAUUGAAUAUCACAAUGAAUAAAUAAAAAACUGCAUUUUAAAA